UUUCCGUAGGUGAACCUGCGGAAGGAUCAUUAUUGAAUAUUCUUGAUGGGUUGUAGCUGGCUCUUAGGGGCAUGUGCACACUUGUCUUGACUUUAUUCAUCCACCUGUGCCCCCUUUGUAGUCUUGGGGGUUGAGAGCCGUCGACUAUUGGAUGGCUAUGGCUUUUCCGGACAUGAGGAUUGCUGAGUGCGCAAGCAUACAGCUCUUCUCAAAUGGCUUGCAAAGCCUCUCCCUCGAGUACUAUGUAUUCAUAUACCACAUAGUAUGUUGAAGAAUGUGAUCAAUGGGCCUAUGUGCCUAUAACAAUCAUAUACAACUUUCAGCAACGGAUCUCUUGGCUCUC
This 343-nucleotide unclassified non-coding RNA is filed under the name plant metagenome. RNAcentral's name for it is "partial contains small subunit ribosomal RNA, internal transcribed spacer 1, and 5.8S ribosomal RNA". The record is from RNAcentral.